RNAcentral lists this ribosomal RNA (2437 nucleotides) under human gut metagenome. RNAcentral describes it as "bacterial LSU rRNA". It matches the Rfam family "Bacterial large subunit ribosomal RNA", at positions 14 to 2541 of the family's 2925-position model. The record is from RNAcentral.
AGGGCGCAGGGCGAAUGCCUUGGCACUGGGAGCCGAUGAAAGACGUGAUAAGCUGCGAUAAGCUUCGGGGAGCUGCAAAUAAGCAUUGAUCCGGAGAUUUCUGAAUGAGGAAACUCACCUGGGUUCAUACUCAGGUACGUUAUACUGAACUUCAAAAUAGGUAUAUCGAGGGAACCGCCUGAACUGAAACAUCUAAGUAGGGCGAGGAAGAGACAUCAAACGAGAUUCCGUAAGUAGUGGCGAGCGAACGCGGAAGAGGGCAAACCGAGAGUAGAAAUACUUUCGGGGUACGGACUGCUUUUAGGACUUAAUCUGUUAACCGAACGGCAUGGGAAGGCCGGUCAGAGAGUGUGAGAACCACGUAGGUGAAAACGGAGAGAGCUGCGCAGGAUCCAGAGUACGGCCAGACACGUGAAACCUGGUCGGAAUACGGGGGGACCACCCUCCAACCCUAAAUACUACCCAGUGACCGAUAGCGUAUAGUACUGUGAAGGAAAGGUGAAAAGCACCCCGGGAGGGGAGUGAAAAAGAACCUGAAACCCUGUGCCUACAAGCACCUAGAGCGCGUCAAAGCGUGAUAGGGUACUUUUUGUAGAACGGUCCGGCGAGCGAUUGUAUGCAGCAAGGUUAAGGACUUAAGGUCUGGAGCCGAAGCGAAAGCGAGUUUGAAAAGGGCGUUAAGUUGCAUAUAAUGGGCCCGAAACCGGGUGACCUACCCAUGGUCAGGUUGAAGUGGAAGUAAAAUUCCAUGGAGGACCGAACCGACCUCCGUUGAAAAGGCGGCGGAUGAACUGUGGGUAGCGGAGAAAUUCCAAUCGAACCCGGAGAUAGCUGGUUCUCCCCGAAAUAGUUUUAGGACUAGCCUCAAGUUAGAUACCUGGAGGUAAAGCACUGAAUAGCCUAGCGGCCGAGAGGUUAGCGAAGCUUAUCAAACUCAGAAUGCCAGAGUAUUGAUGCUUGGGAGUCAGACAGUGUCAGAUAAAUGUCAUUGUCAAAAGGGAAACAGCCCAGAUCUACAGCUAAGGUCCCAAAGUCAGGUUAAGUGGAAAACGAUGUGAAGAUACGUAGACAACCAGGAUGUUGGCUCAGAAGCAGCCACUCAUUCAAAGAGUGCGUAAUAGCUCACUGGUCGAGCGUCUUUGCGCGGAGAAUUUAACGGGGCUAAACCUGACACCGAAGCUUAGGCAGCAUGUUUACAUGCUGGGUAGGGGAGCGUUGUAUACGCGGUGAAACAGUAGCGCAAGCGGCUGUGGAGUGUAUAGAAGUGAGAAUGCCGGAAUGAGUAGCGCGAAUGCAGUGAGAAUCUGCAUGGCCGAAAGCCUCAGGUUUCUGGAGGAAGGUUCGUCCGCUCCAGGUUAGUCGGGAGCUAAGGUGAGGCCUAACGGCGUAGCCGAUGCACAGACGGUAGAGAUUCCGUCACCACCAAAAGAGUUAAACACAGGGACACAUAUGAAGUCUCGGAGCCGGGUGUUGGUUCCGGUAGCGAUCGAGGGAAGUUAGUACCGAAGUCCGGGAUGGAAGAUGGCGAGAAAAGCUGUGUGUAUUUCUGCGGUGCCCGUACCGCAAACCGACACAGGUAGGUAGGAAGAAGAUUCUAAGGCCAACGGGAGAAGGGUUGUUAAGGAACUCGGCAAAUUGACCCCGUAACUUCGGGAGAAGGGGUGCUGCAGCAAUGCAGCCGCAGAGAAUCGGCCCAAGCAACUGUUUACCAAAAACACAGGUUUGUGCUAAAUCGAAAGAUGACGUAUACGAGCUGACGCCUGCCCGGUGCUGGAAGGUUAAGAGGAGAUGUGCAAGCAUUGAAUCGAAGCCCCAGUGAACGGCGGCCGUAACUAUAACGGUCCUAAGGUAGCGAAAUUCCUUGUCAGGUAAGUUCUGACCCGCAUGAAAGGCGUAAUGAUUUGGGCACUGUCUCAACAGCCCGCCCGGCGAAAUUGUAGUACCGGUGAAGAUGCCGGUUACCCGCGACAAGACGGAAAGACCCCAUGGAGCUUUACUGUAGCCUAAUAUUGGGUUUCGAUGUUGCAUGCACAGGAUAGAUGGGACACUGGGAAGCAGGUGCUUUGGCGCUUGUGGAGUGGCCGUUGGGAUACCAUCCUUGCGAUAUUGGAAUUCUAACCUGCGCCUUUGAAUCAAGGCGGGGGACAUUGUUAGGUGGGCAGUUUGACUGGGGCGGUCGCCUCCUAAAGAGUAACGGAGGCGUUCAAAGGUUCGCUCAGCUUGAACGGAAAUCAAGCAAAAGAGUGCAAACGCAGAAGCGAGCCUAACUGCGAGACUGACGGGUCGAGCAGUAACGAAAGUUGGAGUUAGUGAUCCGGUGGUAUGUGAGUGGAAAUGCCAUCGCUCAACGGAUAAAAGUUACCCUGGGGAUAACAGGCUGAUCUCCCCCAAGAGUCCACAUCGACGGGGAGGUUUGGCACCUCGAUGUCGGCUCAUC